This 433-nucleotide ribosomal RNA is filed under the name uncultured bacterium. RNAcentral describes it as "partial 16S ribosomal RNA". It matches the Rfam family "Bacterial small subunit ribosomal RNA", at positions 29 to 507 of the family's 1533-position model. The record is from RNAcentral.
AACGAACGCUGGCGGCAUGCCUAACACAUGCAAGUCGAACGAGACCUUCGGGUCUAGUGGCGCACGGGUGCGUAACGCGUGGGAACCUUCCCUUAGGUUCGGAAUAACUCCCCGAAAGGGGUGCUAAUACCGGAUAAUGUCUUCGGACCAAAGAUUUAUCGCCUUUGGAUGGGCCCGCGUUGGAUUAGCUAGUUGGUAGGGUAAAAGCCUACCAAGGCGACGAUCCAUAGCUGGUCUGAGAGGAUGAUCAGCCACACUGGGACUGAGACACGGCCCAGACUCCUACGGGAGGCAGCAGUGGGGAAUAUUGGACAAUGGGCGAAAGCCUGAUCCAGCAAUGCCGCGUGAGUGAUGAAGGCCUUAGGGUUGUAAAGCUCUUUUACCCGGGAUGAUAAUGACAGUACCGGGAGAAUAAGCGCCGGCUAACUACGUG